UGGGGAAUAUUGCACAAUGGAGGAAACUCUGAUGCAGCGACGCCGCGUGAGUGAUGAAGGUUUUCGGAUCGUAAAACUCUGUCCUUGGGGAAGAUAAUGACGGUACCCAAGGAGGAAGCCCCGGCUAACUACGUGCCAGCAGCCGCGGUAAUACGUAGGGGGCGAGCGUUAUCCGGAUUUAUUGGGCGUAAAGGGUACGUAGGCGGCUUGAUAAGUCAGAUGUGAAAGGCAACGGCUCAACCGUUGUAAGCAUUUGAAACUGUCAAGCUUGAGUACUGGAGAGGAAAGUGGAAUUCCUAGUGUAGCGGUGAAAUGCGUAGAUAUUAGGAGGAACACCAGUGGCGAAGGCGACUUUCUGGACCAUAACUGACGCUGAGGCACGAAAGCGUGGGGAGCAAACAGG
This 403-nucleotide ribosomal RNA is filed under the name uncultured prokaryote. RNAcentral's name for it is "bacterial SSU rRNA". It matches the Rfam family "Bacterial small subunit ribosomal RNA", at positions 355 to 776 of the family's 1533-position model. The record is from RNAcentral. RNAcentral also lists the same sequence under 1 other name.